RNAcentral lists this ribosomal RNA (253 nucleotides) under uncultured bacterium. RNAcentral's name for it is "partial 16S ribosomal RNA". It matches the Rfam family "Bacterial small subunit ribosomal RNA", at positions 524 to 776 of the family's 1533-position model. The record is from RNAcentral.
GACGAACCGUGCGAACGUUGUUCGGAAUCACUGGGCUUAAAGGGCGCGUAGGCGGGUCGAAAAGUCCGUGGUGAAAUCCCUCCGCUCAACGGGGGAACGGCCGCGGAUACUGUCGGCCUCGAGGGGGGUAGGGGCGAGCGGAACGCUGGGUGGAGCGGUGAAAUGCGUUGAUAUCCAGCGGAACUCCGGUGGCGAAGGCGGCUCGCUGGACCCCCACUGACGCUGAGGCGCGAAAGCCAGGGGAGCGAACGGG